This 497-nucleotide ribosomal RNA is filed under the name uncultured bacterium. Its description in RNAcentral is "partial 16S ribosomal RNA". It matches the Rfam family "Bacterial small subunit ribosomal RNA", at positions 38 to 507 of the family's 1533-position model. The record is from RNAcentral.
GGGGGGGGGGGGGGGGGGGGGGGGGGGGGGGGGGGCGGGGGGGGGGGCGAGGAGCGGGCGGGUCGGGGGUUAGCGGCGGACGGGGGAGUAACACGUGGAUAACCUACCUAUAAGACUGGGAUAACUUCGGGAAACCGGAGCUAAUACCGGAUAAUAUUUUGAACCGCAUGGUUCAAAAGUGAAAGACGGUCUUGCUGUCACUUAUAGAUGGAUCCGCGCUGCAUUAGCUAGUUGGUAAGGUAACGGCUUACCAAGGCAACGAUGCAUAGCCGACCUGAGAGGGUGAUCGGCCACACUGGAACUGAGACACGGUCCAGACUCCUACGGGAGGCAGCCGUAGGGAAUCUUCCGCAAUGGGCGAAAGCCUGACGGAGCAACGCCGCGUGAGUGAUGAAGGUCUUCGGAUCGUAAAACUCUGUUAUUAGGGAAGAACAUAUGUGUAAGUAACUGUGCACAUCUUGACGGUACCUAAUCAGAAAGCCACGGCUAACUACGUG